Juglans regia (Persian walnut) is the source of this 3613-nucleotide RNA transcript. It is a transcript of the gene named probable inactive poly [ADP-ribose] polymerase SRO3, with no coding region annotated. The record is from RefSeq and is a predicted model, not a curated record. Lineage: Eukaryota; Viridiplantae; Streptophyta; Magnoliopsida; Fagales; Juglandaceae. The transcript has 6 exons.
AGCAGGUUUUGUUUCUCAAAUCUCUUGUUCGUGGAGUGUUUUGAGCGACGAAGGCUGUAGAAUCCCAUGGCUUCGCGAACGACGUGCCCCACAGCCGAAGAGAGGAAGAUGGCGGAAACUAUUAAGGUUAGGGUUCCGCUGCAUCUUUCUUCGUCGUCGCCUUUGGUAACCAAUCGCUGUGAGCAUCAAUCGGAUUGUUGUUCGGCCCGGAUUGGGACACAAAAUGAAUCCAACUUCGGGCGGAGCGGCGCACCGGUCCGGUUCAUGUUCUACCGGGUUGAUUCGUGGAUCGAUUUCCCGAGCGAGGUUCUCGAGAAUAUUCGACCGUCGUUCUUGGAGGGUAGGCCAAUGGUCGAAUCAUCGAUUGGAGGGGCCAAGUAUAUCUUUGAUUUUCUUCGCAUGUUGCAGAUAGAUUUGGGGUCAGGUAGUCGGUGGUCUAUUGCUUGGAUUGACGAAAAUGGUAAGUUCUUUUUCCCCAAAGUGUUCGUCAGCGAAGAUCUGGAUAGCACUAAUGAGAACGGCCCGGUGGAGAAUUUCGGAGUUCAGAAAAUUGAGAUCGAGAUUCGAAUUUGCGGGGAAAGGGGCAAGAGAAAGGGGGUGGAACAUGAAUUGGGUCCGAAUGAGGACGAGACUGAGGUAAGUUCAUCGAAAAAGCGAGACGGGGAUUCCUCAAAACGGCCGCGUUUAACGACCGCCGAUUCAGAAACAUCUAGCUGGCCGAAUGCGAAGCUUUUGAGCCCAGGAGAACAAGCUUACUCGGUGAUUAGCAAUUUGUUCAUGGCUGGGAUCAGGAAGAUCGAUCACGGCGCUACCAUUACCGCAGUUCACCAGUGUACGCGCACUGGGCCGUUGGAGAGAGCUCGUCUCGAAGUUUUUCAGAGGCAGAAUGAGACCACCAAAGCUGCUCGUGGUGCGUCAAAUACCGUGUAUGCGUGGUAUGGAGCUUCAGCCAAAGUCGUAGCGCAACUUUUAGCACAUGGGUUUUCGGUGCCAAGCAAGGUUUCAGGGUCGGGAACUUAUGGAAUUGGUAUAUACUUCUCUCCUGUGGGCUUCCCCCAUUUAAGUGCACUGGAAUCGGAGUCUGAUGAUGAUGGGCAAAAGCAUGUGGUAUUGUGCCGGGUUAUAUUGGGAAGUGUCGAAAGGGUCGAGGCGGGGUCUCAGCAAUGCCAUCCUUCUAGUUUGGAUUUUGAUACAGGUGCAGAUAAUCCGAAGAAUCCUAAACGCUAUGUCGUAUGGAGCACCAACAUGAACAGGCACAUCCUACCUGUGUGUGUUGUGAGCUACAAAUCUUCUGAUCACGUUUCAGGCCAGUUGAGAGGAUCGGCGAAGUAUCCAUUUUCCAAAUUAUUUUCGAGGAUUAAUAAGUUCCUCCCUCCCUCAGAAGUUCACGCAGCCACGACUUUGUAUGACACAUAUAGGGCUCGGAAGAUGGCCAGAGAUGUUUUUGUGAACCGUUUGCGAUCUAUUGUGGGGGAUGACAUGCUGCUAUCGAUAAUGCGGGAGAUUCAUGCCUCAGAAUGAAGAUGAAGGUGUUUGGGUGGCUUCAACUGUCAAACUUGUAGAUAGCAAACUGCUGUCGGAUUAUAUCUGAGUAUGCUGUUAUUGAAGCUGCUUAAGGCAUUUCCAAUACUCCAUUUGGCACCACGGGGAACGUUGGCAAAAGGCUUACAAGCAUCUGACAUGUGGGUUUGAAAUACGGAGAUACUCACGGAACAUCUAAGGUACUCUUUCCUCCUGUCCUAUUAAAAGGUUCUUGCUUGCUUCAUCUGGAUAUUGUUUGAUUCUUGGUGAUUAUUCUUGUUUGAUGAUUGAACUAUCUUCUCCUUAGCAUAGGCUAUUGCUAUUGAAACAUUUGGUCUCAUCUUACGGUAACAGAAUUACUGAUACUCUACCCAGUGGUCCUAUAUGGAAGACGUUCACAACAAUGGCAUGCUAUAUUAUGCUUGAGGACAAACUUUCGCAUUUGCUUUGUAUUGCCUCAUGACUCUAGAAUUCUGGAUACUAGACGUAGAAACUAGUUUUUCUCUUACCACAUCGUUGGCCAUCGCAAAUAUGAACAUUAUUGGAAUGAGUGCUAAUUCUAUAUAAAUUCAUUCGCUGUAAAAUCAUAUCUCCAGUUGGAUACUUGUUUUUCUUCCUUUCAAAAUGAGGGUAUUUUAUCCUUCCCUACUGAGUAGACUGAAUUUUGAAAGUAGAAAUGGUUCAAAUUCUGUAGGUUCUUAGUGGCUGGCUAUCCAGUUGCUGAAAUAGUUAGGAUAUGGUUUCUUAAGAGGAUACACACCGAUUAAUUUGGAGCUAGGACGCUGCUUACAUUAAUGAAUUUCAGGGUAAAGAAAAUGGAUUCCAACCUUUUUAUCUCAUUUGGUGCAUUGAGAACUAUGGUUGUCGUCGGAGUCUUUAUUUGAUGGAAGUCAACGUGUGACAGCCAGCCCCUCCUACGCAGAGAAAGGGUCAAUUCUUAACCAUAUGAAAUAUGCUGUCCCUCCGUGCCUGACUACACUAAAAAAGGAGCUUAUUAUUUGGUAGCCCUUUUCUUUUAGGUACCUUUUACAAAUUUUGUGGGCAGGGCAAAUGCUUUGAAACUGAACAAAGAUUAAGAGACACCUAGAUGGAUUAAUAUGCCUUUAUCUCCCAAGGAAUCAUCUUUGGAGUUUGAAGCAAUUUGAGGUGCAAGAUAGAGAAAAUACAGAUUCUGUAGUGCUUAUUAAGUUUUAUUGGGAGUAUUUUCUAGUGUUUGGGAUGCAAGGUACCAGCAAAUAAAUGGAUAUUAUAUGCUCAGAAGUAUUUCUAGCUGAUGAUAUUUUUUUCCAAGUCCAUGUUUAGUAUGACGUGAGUUUUUUGUGUUAUCUAUUAAAUUGACAUGUAUAGAAAAAAGCGAAAGUGAUAGUCAAUAGGAUAUAUUAAAAUAGGUUAGCACCUUCGAUGGUAGGGUAUACCAAAUUUACAGUAACAAGAGCUUAUGCAGGCUCAUCAAAAGGGGAGAGAGAGAGAGAGAGAGAGAGUAUGUAGAACGCCCAGUGCCCACACAAGAGCUUAUUGAAUGACUCGGUUAGCACCCUCGAUGGUAGGGUAUACCAAAUUUACAGUAACAAGAGCUUAUGCAGGCUCAUCAAAAGGGGAGAGAGAGAGUAUGUAGAACGCCCAGUGCCCACACAAGAGCUUAUUGAAUGACUCGUAAGCUUCUUGGGGGCACUGAUGUACACUGACAUUUUUCCCUUUGGUUAUCUCUUGUUGCAUGGAUCCUCGAGAAAAGAGCUUUGAGAAGAGUUAUCCGUGUCACCAGAAUUUUGAAAUCACCCCGAUGAUGGCAACCUAACGGUCCUAACCUACUAUAACUUAUUUCAUACAGUGCAUGAUUUUGAUUUAGAUGUUUCUCCAAUGGAAAUUCCAUGGGAGUUUUUUUCUGUUCGGUGCAGUGCUGCGAAACGGAUGCUCAAAUUCCUCCCCAAAAUGUCAAGGUUCUGUUGCUGACCUUGUAUGUAGUCAUAUAUUUGGAAAUUAUCAGUGUAUAUUUUUUUUAAGUUAAUACAGCAUGUUCUUUCUGGUCUAAUCUGUUAAGGUAAGAGCCCCCCAAAAAUCAUUUUGUUAUUGUAGAAGGUUCUUUCUGGUCUAA